Molecule: ribosomal RNA, 445 nt
Filed under: uncultured bacterium
Lineage: Bacteria
Description: partial 16S ribosomal RNA
Rfam family: Bacterial small subunit ribosomal RNA
Source: RNAcentral
GUGAGGAAUAUUGCGCAAUGGAGGCAACUCUGACGCAGCCAUGCCGCGUGCAGGAAGAAGGCGCUACGCGUUGUAAACUGCUUUUAACCGGGAAGAAACCCCAGGACGUGUCCUGGGUUGACGGUACCGGAGGAAUAAGCACCGGCUAACUUCGUGCCAGCAGCCGCGGUAAUACGAAGGGUGCAAGCGUUAUGCGGAUUCAUUGGGUUUAAAGGGUGCGUAGGCGGAGCGUUAAGUCAGUGGUGAAAUCCUGCAGCUUAACUGUAGACUUGCCAUUGAUACUGGCGCUCUUGAGUGCGCUUGAAGUGGGCGGAAUGUGCCGUGUAGCGGUGAAAUGCUUAGAUAUGGCACAGAACACCAAUUGCGAAGGCAGCUCACUAAGGCGAUACUGACGCUGAGGCACGAAAGCGUGGGGAUCGAACAGGAUUAGAAACCCUGGUAGUCC